UACGUAGGGGGCAAGCGUUGUCCGGAAUUAUUGGGCGUAAAGAGCUCGUAGGCGGUCUGUCGCGUCGGCUGUGAAAUCCCGAGGCUCAACCUCGGGUCUGCAGUCGAUACGGGCAAACUGGAGUGUUGCAGGGGAGACUGGAAUUCCUGGUGUAGCGGUGAAAUGCGCAGAUAUCAGGAGGAACACCGGUGGCGAAGGCGGGUCUCUGGGCAACAACUGACGCUGAGGAGCGAAAGCGUGGGGAGCGAACAGG
This 253-nucleotide ribosomal RNA is filed under the name uncultured bacterium. RNAcentral's name for it is "partial 16S ribosomal RNA". It matches the Rfam family "Bacterial small subunit ribosomal RNA", at positions 524 to 776 of the family's 1533-position model. The record is from RNAcentral.